GUUAGCGUGGCAGAGCCUGGUCAUGCAAAAGANCUAAAC
This 39-nucleotide transfer RNA is filed under the name Kaloula conjuncta conjuncta. RNAcentral describes it as "partial tRNA-Leu". Lineage: Eukaryota; Metazoa; Chordata; Amphibia; Anura; Microhylidae. The record is from RNAcentral.